UUAUAAAUAACGAAACAGAUCUAUAGAUUACUGCUCCUAACAGCUUUCUUCAAACACUAUCCAGUUCUCAUCUCAUUCCUGAAAUCAAAACAAACAAGUUGGCCCUGCAUAACAUGAUUUUCAACAUGAAACAGUCCCGUGACAAACAAGCUUCAAUCAGCCCCAAUUGAUUCCAGGAGAAUAUCAGCUAUGUUAACUUAAUCAAUGACCAGCACCUUAAACAAUCAACUAAAGAUAUGUAUUAACCAAGAGGAGGGGAGCACGAGCAGAUUGAGCAUGGGACAGAGUUAGAUAUUAGGCCUAUAUCGUGUUUCAGCACUAUCACACAUUUCAAUCAAUUAUGCACAAUAGAUCAUAGAAGUAGACAUUAAACAAACUCAAGCAGGCAGUAUAUUAGAUCUAUUGAAGACAAAACAAAACAGGUAGUGAACAAUUCAAAUUUCAUUCAUGAUUUCGAUUUGAACAAUGAAGGUAAUCGAGUACCUAAACAACAGCAAGAGCAAUAAGAAAAUAAAUCUCUGAAUUUAAGAAGGAAAACUAGAAAACCGAUUCAGCUACAGCUCAAUCAAACAGUAGCAAACAACAUAAGAUGAAGCUCAACAAAACUUCCAACCUAGAAAUUGAAAAGAAACAGUUAUCCAAUGACGAAGCAAGCUAAUGAAAACCUUUGGUUAUAUUUUUUGUUUCUGAAAUCUCAGAGUUGAUUUUCCAGAAAUUUUCUUUACUAAAAUGAAAGUGAAGAACAGUGAACUCUCAGAAAUUAGUGUAAAUUAGUGAGGAAAAUGAAAAAAGGAAUUCUGAACUUUAGGGUGUUUUUGUGUGUGAUGUCUGUGUGAGUGAAGGGAAUAUGAGGCCUCUUAUAUAGGCAAACGGUGAGGGAAUAAUUCUUGGGAAUGCGGUCCCUAAAAAUAAGGAGAAAGGAUAUUUUUUCUAACCAAUUUUCUACUGAUGUCCCUUUUUAUAAGAUAUUAUCCUAUUUUCAGCAUUUUUUAAAACUGAAAAUGGACAGUUGUCCAAUACUAUAAGCUUCUUUUGGUUUUCAAACUUCUAAAAAUAACCCUUCUUACCCCAGAUUUUGACUCAAAUUCCUUGUUUUAUUACCCUAAGUUUUAAGUUCCCUUAAACCCACCUCAAGUUUCAAUUAAGACAUAAAAAAAAAACACAAACACACUGAUGUGAACAAACAUUAACCAACCAAAUUAUUUAACAAGUUAAUUGAUAACUUAUGCAACUAAAAACACUAACUGAAUCCGGCCAGAACAGAAAACCAAAUGAAAAUGAUAAUCAAAAAGAUAUUAAUCUUAAAUCAUACAAUUAACUUAAAUAUUGAACUAUGCCUAACUAAUUAUUCAAAAGAAAAAAACAGAAAAAGAAACAAGAAAAAGGAAAAAGGUAAGUAUACUAAUUUGACAGUAAGUGAGUCAACGAUUGAUGCGAAUCAACGAGCGAUGAUGGCGACGAAGCUUGGCCGGUCAGUGGUGACUUGGCCAGAAUCCAACGGGUUUAGAAAUGAACGAAAUUAACAUGAAUUGAUUGCUUGUAUCAAGAGCAAUCGACUCAUGUAAGUUUGAGUCAAAACAUGCUUGAAAUUUUCAGAAAAAAUCAUAUUUAGGUUUAUGAUUUUCUUAGAUUUGAAAUUGACCGAAUUUGGUGGGUAUUUUGGAGAAGAUGAUGAUGUAUUAGGGUUGAGGGGAAGAUGGGGAGUGUAUGGUGUAAUUUUGGGAUGGUUUGGAGUGGCACCGCCGCCGUGGGCGAUUUUCGGCGACGGUGGGCGGCUACGGCUUCUCUGAGUUAAGAGAGACAGAGAAUGAGAGAGUCUUGGGGAGGGG
RNAcentral lists this long non-coding RNA (1829 nucleotides) under Nicotiana tabacum (common tobacco). Its description in RNAcentral is "long non-coding RNA (NTAB_LNC003359)". Lineage: Eukaryota; Viridiplantae; Streptophyta; Magnoliopsida; Solanales; Solanaceae. The record is from RNAcentral.